UUAAAUUGAAGAGUUUGAUCAUGGCUCAGAUUGAACGCUGGCGGCAGGCCUAACACAUGCAAGUCGAGCGGCAGCGGAAAAGUAGCUUGCUACUUUUGCCGGCGAGCGGCGGACGG
Molecule: ribosomal RNA, 116 nt
Filed under: Aeromonas caviae
Lineage: Bacteria; Pseudomonadati; Pseudomonadota; Gammaproteobacteria; Aeromonadales; Aeromonadaceae
Description: partial 16S ribosomal RNA
Rfam family: Bacterial small subunit ribosomal RNA
Source: RNAcentral